GUGGGUAUAGCUCAGUAGUAGAGCAUAUGCUUAGUAUGCAUGAAGUCCCAGGUUCGAGCCCCAGUACUUCCA
RNAcentral lists this transfer RNA (72 nucleotides) under Camelus bactrianus (Bactrian camel). It matches the Rfam family "tRNA". From Rfam's summary of the family: Transfer RNA (tRNA) molecules are approximately 80 nucleotides in length. RNAcentral also lists the same sequence under 2 other names. The record is from Rfam by way of RNAcentral. Lineage: Eukaryota; Metazoa; Chordata; Mammalia; Artiodactyla; Camelidae.